This 500-nucleotide ribosomal RNA is filed under the name uncultured bacterium. Its description in RNAcentral is "partial 16S ribosomal RNA". It matches the Rfam family "Bacterial small subunit ribosomal RNA", at positions 30 to 523 of the family's 1533-position model. The record is from RNAcentral.
AUUGAACGCUGGCGGAAUGCUUUACACAUGCAAGUCGAACGGCAGCACGGACUUCGGUCUGGUGGCGAGUGGCGAACGGGUGAGUAACAUAUCGGAACGUAUCCAAUAAUGGGGGAUAACGAGUCGAAAGAUUCGCUAAUACCGCAUACGCCCUACGGGGGAAAGCUAGGGACCUUCGGGCCUGGCGUUGAUGGAGCGGCCGAUAUCUGAUUAGCUAGUUGGCGAGGUAAAGGCUCACCAAGGCGACGAUCAGUAGCUGGUCUGAGAGGACGACCAGGCACACUGGAACUGAGACACGGUCCAGACUCCUACGGGAGGCAGCAGUGGGGAAUUUUGGACAAUGGGCGCAAGCCUGAUCCAGCCAUUCCGCGUGAGUGAAGAAGGCCUUCGGGUUGUAAAGCUCUUUCGCAAGGGAAGAAAACUUAUCCUCUAACACAGGAUGAGGUUGACGGUACCUUGAUAAGAAGCACCGGCUAACUACGUGCCAGCCGCCGCCGUAA